RNAcentral lists this microRNA precursor (125 nucleotides) under Brassica napus (rape). Its description in RNAcentral is "MIR9563 microRNA precursor family". It matches the Rfam family "MIR9563 microRNA precursor family". Lineage: Eukaryota; Viridiplantae; Streptophyta; Magnoliopsida; Brassicales; Brassicaceae. RNAcentral also lists the same sequence under 1 other name. The record is from Rfam by way of RNAcentral.
AGAAUAUAAGAAUUCGUCUCUUAACUUUUAACUAAAAAAUCUAAGAGCUGGUUCUUAAAUAAGAAAUUUAAGAGCCGGCUCUUAACUUUUUUAGUUGAAAGUUAAGAGACGGGUUCUUAUAUUCC